Rhododendron vialii is the source of this 1286-nucleotide long non-coding RNA. RefSeq lists it as uncharacterized. NCBI's taxonomy places the organism in Eukaryota, Viridiplantae, Streptophyta, Magnoliopsida, Ericales, Ericaceae. The transcript is spliced from 2 exons. The record is from RefSeq and is a predicted model, not a curated record.
UAGACCUCAGUUUCAGACUCGACAUAGGUGCACUGGGUCUCUUGUGAUCCUUAUGUGGUGCUUUCCUGUGAUCCCUAGUAACAUAUGAAUGCGAUAUGGUUAACAUGUCUAGAUUUUAUGGAGCAUCGAAAUAACUAUGAAUUGAACAACAACCAAUCAAGUGUACGCAUACUGCACGCAUACGGUUCAACUUACUUGCAAUAACUACAAAGAUUGCAUAACACAACUACGUAAUACCAUAAACAAAGCCAUUGUGUGCAAGAAUUGUUAGCCCCAUGAUUUUAGAUUUUGAUGAUAACAAACACGUCCUAAUUGGGAUUAAAUAAGUCUAUUAGGCUUAAUUGGAAUAAUAUGUUUUUAUCGUACUAAUUCUGCCAUUACUUAUUUUUAUAGGGGCUUAUGUAGCAAUUUCUUUGAAAACAAUAUGUGAGAGAUGCUGAGAAUUAUUUUCCUGACCUAGUCUUCUCUGGUCUUUCUACGAUAUAAACAAGAAGAAAGAGGCGAUGCAGAAACAGGGGUUUCGGGUCUAUCAAAGGCAAAAAUUGAGGGAUUCUCUUCCUCAAAAUUGCUAUCAAGAGAAUUGAAAAAGGAAAGAGAUUAAGGAAAAUCUCUUCCUACUGACUAACGGCUAGAAUGGGUUCGAAAAGGAAAGAGGAAAUCUUUUGUUGGAAAUAUAGAGAUUGAAGGAGGAAGCAAAUAAGUAAGGACUGAUUUUGUGCAACGGCUAAGAGGAAAAACUUCAACUUCAACGUUCAUUUUUGGGGAUUCAAGAAUAUAUAGAAGAGAAGUACAAGUGCAGAAACAACACACAACUUUGGAAGCAAUCUGUUGUGAGGUAUCUCUUGAAAUUUCCCAGUCAACUUUGUUCUUCAUCUUGAUUUUUCUACACUAGGUUGAGUGUUAUCUUUGAGCCUUAUUGUAAAAGGGAUUUCACACCCUUGUGAGAUUGUAACUGUUUUUGUGAGUGGUUUUUGGGUAGAAAAAUCAUUUGGGUUUUAGGUGUGACUAGUACUGGAGUUUUAGCUAGUUGGAGAGGAUUCGAAGUAAUGGCUCGUUGUAAGGUUCUCUAGCACCCACGAAACUAGAGGUUUGUAACAACUAUUGGAGAUAGUGUAGCAAUUCCCGAGUAGGAUACUUGGGGAGUGGAGUAGGUGUGAAGUUGUGGAACAAACCACUAUAAAAUCCUCAUGUUUGAUUUCUCUUUCCCUUACUCCUGUACUUUUUGUUUUGCAUAUCUAUAUUGCUUGAAUAAACUGAAAAAUCUGUGAAAUCAGACUUGGGAUAAA